AAUUAAAUCAAAGUAAUAAAGUAGCUAUUUAAGCAAAAUGGCUAUCUAUUGUAAUUAAUUAGAAGCAAUAUAACUAUAUAACCAACUUACUUUUGUAUUUAGUAAUUGCCAAACUUAUAAAAAAAAUUAAUGUUCUAUCUACCUUGAUCAAUUUUAGAAUGAAUUCAACAUUGUUCUCAUUUUCUUAUUCCUAUGUAGUAAAAUUUUAUCUUAUCUUAGCUUAUAAUUGUGGUCAUUAUGGAAUUCUGUCAAACUAAGACUCUAUUCAACUUACUUAUUUGGUAGAAGUCUAUUAUGUUAAGAUUAUUUAAAGUCAAUUCAAGUUUAAUUUGUUUGAGAAUUUUCUUGAGUUGAUUACUAAACUUGGUUAAAUUGUGAAAAUUAAUUUUUAUUUACUAACCUUGAAUUACUAUAUUUGAAUUGACAACAACUUCUCACAAAUUUGGAAAACUUUUUGAAUCAAAUUCCAAUUUGGUCAAGUAACUCAAAGAUCCUUUUUUUUUUAGUCCAACCGGCUGGACUUUAGAUUGACCAAAGCCUCUAAGUACCAAAGUCUUGAUUGACGACUAUCAAGUAGAACAUCCAAGUUGUACUUGUAAGUGCCAAAGUCAACAUUGGCAUAUAUAUAUAUAUAUAUAUAUGAAUGAAAUCCUAGAGAGCAAAUAGAAAAUUAAAAAUAUAUUCAAUACUCAUUUGUUCAGAUAGGUGAAUUAUUGAAAUAAAUCCCACUUGGCUAAUAGAAAUUAAAAAAUGAGAAUAAACAAUGGCGGGGGCAGAACCGACCUGAAAUAGCUUCUCCCUGCCGUGCAAAAGUCAACUCCUGCUUGAACUUUGAAUUGAACUACGCCACAACACUGAGAAGUAAUUUCAGGAGUCUGCGAAUCGAAAAGAUUCAAAUGACCACUACUAUAAUCGAAGGCCAGUUGGGUAACACUCAAAUAUAGAAUUUGGAUAAUUUUAUUAUGGUUUGAGCCCAGCACGUACUGCUGCAAUUACUAGUUCGAAGACACAAAACCUACUUAUCCAGCUAUCGUUGAAGAUUCAAACCAACAAUAUGCGCAAAAUGUUUAUAAUUAGAAUCUUACAGCUCAAAUUUAUCGUUUAACAAUACAAAUCAAGUCAUGCAAUUGCAGCAGCAACUAACUAAUUCAACCAGAGUAAAACAGAGAUGUGAACGUUUUUCUUACCAUAGAAUUUACCCAUUAAAUAUAAGCUCAUGAAAGUGGAUUAAUCAAUAACCAUUUACUUACCGUCUAGGUGAAGUAUGUGCGCCCCUGAUACGAAGCUCACGCAUCACCUCAAACAUUAUCAAUACAAUGUAAGAAACGGCUAAGUUUUCCAGAAUUAAGGGUGAAACUACAAGCACUUCACAAGCUGGAGCAUCCAACCUGUCUCCAGCGCUGGUCCUUCAAGCCUAUCCAGAAGACAUGAUCCCGAUCUUUUCCGCUGAGAUCAUGCAAUUCCAGACACAGCUCCCGACCCAUGGAAGCAUCUCCCAACGACGUCAGUGGAGUUUAGGGCACUAAUCCCGACCUGCAAAAUUGAUAACCCCUGAUUUCCAACAACGCCACCAUCGACGGCUACACAACCUAUCGUCAGGAAAAGCUCGAAAAGUUCAUUGUCGGUCCUGCGCGAAAAUAGAAAGCCCAUCGGAUGGAUCGCUCCCCACAUGCGGGAUGCCAUCCCCACCACGUCUGGCCUAGGCAACAAACAAAACCAAGUUGGGUGCCCUAAACUGCGCUUCACUGCAACCCUAUUCUUGGCAUGGGCCGUAGCUUACAGAUAGGAUGGAUGAUAGAUGUGUUCUGAUCCCUCGAUCUCCACGCAAGCCUGGAUAACGUCGGGGCGUGACCUCUCGAUUCAACAGCAUCUUAAGUGUUUCCACGGCGCAGAUGCACUGUUUUUGUCUCGUGGCUGCUGUUUGCGCAGAAAGGGGCCUGCAUCUGGAGGUGGGGUCGAGAGAGCUCCAGAUUUAACUGCACGGUUGAGGAUCGUAUGGUGGGCUGUUGCUUAGAUAGCGUUCCAUGCUUUGUUUUUUUAUCAUUAUAGAUGCGAAGUCAUUGCAAUUGGAUACAAGGUUGCAGGCGAGUCGGCUUGGCUGCAAAGCUCGGACAACUUUCAUGCGCGUGCUUAUUGAUUUAAUGGACUAGGUUCGGUAUAUUCCGUGUUGAUGCACGUCAGACGUCAGAGUUUUGGAUUGGAUGUGGCAUUGUUCGAAUUUUCUGGGAGUAGAAAAUGGUGGACCAGCAACAAUGAAGGUAGUGACGGUUGCCCCCUUCGGACACGUUUAUGAAGCGGUGGAAGUAGGGUUUGGGUUUUGAGCACUAGGUCUGCAAUUUUUUUUAAAACAAAAUCUGGACGAAACUGGGAUAUGGAAACGAAAACGGUGAGUAUGUGUGAGAUUUUUGUGCUGGAGAAGAUAAACAUGAGACGACAACAGUGUCGUAGCUCUGCUACAGCGCUAGACCUGGGUUCUGAAGGGGCUCUGCAUAGACUUGUCUGUCCCUUUUCCUCAGGAAUGGUUGGGUCAUCAUGCUCUGUACGAAUCACGAUAUUGUGUGUGAGAGAGAGAGAUGUGUCAUUGAAUCAUUUUUCUUUCUGUACAGUAGUUUUGUUGAACUUCUAGUGAUGGUUUGACUCGCGUUGUGAACCAAUUUUGUGUGAACUACAUCACAGCUUGUGUAAUAAUAACUGCAAUAAAAUCUUAUCAUGGUAUUCUGCUUCAUACCAAACAUAUUUUCAGACUCAAAUUUCACUAGACAUGUUGUAAGCACACAAACACACACACACACAUACAUACACACAUACACUCACAUAUCCAUCAGAGUCAUGAAUGGGAUCCCUCUUCAAAUUCGUUUUCACUGCAAUCAAUCAUCAACUUUCAACACGCUGAAUGGGACUCCAUGUAUACCAAUUGGCUGUCACAAAAAGUGCACCCCAUAGCUAAUCAAUCAUUCACAGAAAAAAAUAAAAAAAUAAAUAAACCAUAGGAAUACUGUGACUUCUUCAUCACGCUAUUGCAGCUGCAGAAAAUCGAUAUUCCCCUUCGUCCCAGUCGUGUAUAAAAAACCCAAAACCUACUAGUAUCCAUCACAGCAAUCAGAUACUUUAUUAGGGCCACCCUUGUCUUCAGCCCCAGUGGGACUACAGGAUGCUUUCUGACGACGGCGCUCAUCUUUCAACUUACGCGCAAGUUGGUGAUCAUAGAAGCAGAAGAACAAAACAUGACAAGAACAGCGAUGCUUAAUGCCGACUAAUCCACAACGUAUGGCAGCUUACCAUAUCUUGUAGACUGCACGGCAAGAAUACCGUAACGUGGGUGAAGAGAAAUUUCGGCAAAUUUCCCUGCGAAACGGAAAGUAUUCCUCUGACAAACCGGAUCCUUUCUCCUAAACAUUUCUACAGUGGGUACAUGGAAAGUAGCGUUCGUACUAACUCUUUGCAGUUGUUGUUUGUUUUUUUAUAUGUAAAUUACUGAGCUCUAUUUGCACAAGGCACUGGUGAGAGCCCAACUGAGGAUAACUUGUGCUAAAUUUUAGCACACGUCUUGGCCGACUGCCUUGUAGACCCCGAAUUUCUGUGGGAGGGUAUCUGUGGAGCCCACUCCUCUCGCCGGAGGAGACCCAUUGCCGUGGUUUGAGAGCUAUAAAACAUUUGCCUCCCCCACGGAACUCUCUUCCCUUUGUCGCGCUCUCAACUGUCCUUCGUAGUGUGCAGUGAUUGCAUUUGCGUGACGCUCACUCGGUUCCUGUUUGCAGGCAUAGUGGCAUUUCGCUUGCAGUGUGUUUUUGAGCGGUACAGGGGAGGUUUUUGAUUGAGCAACGGCGGCGAUUGGUUUUAGCCAAGUUCUGUGCUGCGAGAGUGAGAGUGUACCUUUUUCUAGGUGCUGUUAUCGCGGAUACAAUUUGUCGAAAUCACAAUAACGUCUUGCAAUAGAUCUUUGCGAAGGUCAGCGACGGUCGCAUUCUCGGUUGUUCACGACCCAUUUGGACGCUUAAGUCGAAGAAUUUGAAUGAGUGUGGAAGCAUUCGACAAGUCUUGUGUAAAGGAGUAUUUAUCUUUGAAGCCAUAGAGUUGAGCAGGAAGGACGCACUCAAAGUGUCCCAGUGAACAUUACAUUUCCAAAAUGAUCACCAGCAAGGCCAUUCCUAUUUGCCGAAGCGCGUUCCAGGGCGAGUACCUGGUUUCCUCCUCACCGAAGAGUGUUGGAGCUCUGGGUUCAAGCUCCAGUCCCAAACGGAAAUCUGGGUAUGGUAUGGUUACGAUGGCGUACACCGGCGGAUCUGUGAAGGACCCCUACUCCACUCUCGGUGUCUCACCUGGCGCUACCAAGCACGAGAUCAAGAAAGCUUACAGACGCCUUGCGCUUCAAUACCACCCUGAUGUCUGUGACGGCAAUCACUGCACCACAAGUUUCCAACAAAUCAACCAUGCUUACGAGGUACUCCUCUCACUCUCUUUGGAAUUAUCUGAAUUUUCAAAAUCAGUAAGCACUGGAGUUCGAUUGGCGCUUCUUCUUGUGGUUUUCUCAUCGCUAACGGUAAGUACCGUAAAUAGGUUGAAGAAGAGGUACGUCUUGUGAGGAACGGUAUCUGAUCUUGUGUGCAUCUUGCGUGUUCCUGCAGUCGCUUCUGAGCAUGUCAACCCCUCAAUUCGGGGAGUUUGAGGACGACUUGUCGGACAAUCUAGAAGGAUUCGCAGGAGUAAGCGGUGAUUCUUGGGAGGACUGGGAGGAGUGGAUGGGGUGGGAAGGCGCCGGCACCCGGGACUACUCCAAUCAUGUCAACUACGCUACCUAAGUGUAUGCAUUCCGCGGCAUUUGCUGUGACUAUCGUGUAAUUACAGGUUGUAUAAUGAUGAGCGCUUUCUCCAGCUGCGAAUGGAGUGACUUGGAUUCAAGGUAUGUAAAUAGCGGCGUUUAUUUUACGCGUCUAUGGUUUUCCAGCCCUGGAAUGGCAGGGGCUGCUCCUCAUCUAGCAACUCUUCUGAUUUCUGCUGGCAGCUUAUUAUACUAAAGCAAAAACUCUUGAAUUACGACGUUGUCCAUCUGUUCACUGUGUAGCCAAAAGGCUGUGUGUGAGAUUGAGACUCUUAUUCUUUUUCCGUGGCUGUGGCCAUGUAUAACACCAACUGUUUGGUGUGAUUUUGCAAUGAAAAACCGAUUAACAUUUGGUUCCACCCUGGAGCACUGGUCUUGGUUUUGUUUUGACUCUUUGCGCAUGUGUGGCUCUUUAUGAGACUGAAGCAUCUGUUACUAUUCAUGACAAAACUUGUGGAUAUAGAUCCCAGAUAGCAUGUAGAAACGUUUCAUGUGGCACAGCAAUGAAUCCGCACUGUGUCUGCAAAUGGGAUAUGUACAUGCUUUACACUAAUCACUUUCCCUCCGCAUCAUAUCAACGAGGCCCCCAACUAAAAAACCUCACAUCAACAUAUUUAAUUGUUUGUUUGUUGGCUUUUUGUGUUUUUAUUUUGCGUUUGUAUUCGCAUGUUAUCUGCAAGAUCUUUAACUCUGUCUACGAAGUUAGAGGAUAUAUAUUAUCUCGUGAAAAGAUGCAGGAGGAACAUGCUUGUGCAUGGUAGAUAGCUCCCAUUCUCCACCUCACACUGUUAUUUUGGGUGUUCCAAAAACGUGAGGUGAAGCGAAUAAGCUUGCGCACCGAGUCGUUUGAACAAAACGUAUCACCCAAUUCUGUAACCUCCUGUUGCAUUUGGCUUUUCAACCAAAAUAACAGAAAUGUACCAACUUUUUGAACAAAUGAACCAUCUUUGUCGUGGUUGAACAAACCAUCUGUGAGCUGUAACUGUGAAAAAAACACUAAACACCCAGAUUUUGAAAUGGUUAAAACAAAAUUUCCAAUGAGCAUAAGAACUCAACAAGCUCCUUGUCUGCAUCUCGAAUAAGUAGUUUUUCGCUGCAAACACUUGCCACACUUGAAUUGAUCGGUGGAAGCCACCGCCGUUGCACCUAGCUCGCAUUCAAACAUAGAUUUAGCCUUGAUACCCUCCGUUUCCUUCUUCCUCUGCUCACUUGCCAUAUCACUGAAUGUCAUGCUCACUACUGCUUCUGGUUUGAUUCUCCCGAGCAAAAUACGGCGUCUAAAGUCUAGGUUAGUGUCAUCUUUAACGUUGAACAUAAUGGACCUGUGCCAUGGAACCCAAUAGUGGAAGAAGAACUCAAGAGCAGAUCCCGAAGAAACACACAAGAAGAGAAAAAGAAGAGCAUACUAAAAGCAACACUACAGAUACACACAGUGGGAGUUUCAUGAAGCGAGAGUUAUUAAACCCACAAGCUCAUGAACCCCGCAGCAGCAUGCAUGCCUGUGUUUUGCUUUUCUCCUUCCCCUUGGAUCAAAUACAUGUAAUAUGGCUUGGCAAACAAUGACUUCUCCACGGCCACAACAUCAAUACCCUUGUGGCUUUCUCAAGAUCAUCACGAGUAGCCUCUUCCAUGCCUUGGCAAGGAGCUCCCACCAUGAGCUCUCGCACUCUAUCUCGGGUGCCACUUCCACCCAAAUGCGGAAUUUCCCCAAUGCGAGAUCGAAAUGGCGUGUCCGGCGUCACCGAUCACAGGAUUCGGGGCAUCUCGUGCGGCUUAGGUGCCGUGCUUUCCCAAAGUCGUUUGUGCCGACGGGGAUCCGUUUGAUCCGCUUCCACGCGUGCUUCGUGGGCAUCCGCAGCCGCUUGCACACCUGCACACGGGGGAAGAAUGCUUGCUUACAGCCCCGCAAAAUCGACGCUUUCCUGAACUCGGAAAGCAACAGCACCGACACAGCCUUGAAACCCUAAUUCUGUCGAAAGGAACUCGAAAUCCUAAUUCUAUGCACACUUGAAACCCUAACUCUUCCGCGCGAUGCAUCCUAAUUCAACUGCUUUUUGCGCUUUUAUUUGACGUUUCAUAGGGUGUGAUAUUUGUUUCACAUUGUGUGCCACAAUGUGUGGCAUGUCCCCACUUUGAUAUUGAGAAUGUGUAUAUUGUGUUUAUGUUUGUGUCUGUUGUAUGUUUCUUAGGGUAUAUUAUUAUUAUUAUUAUCUGUAUGUAAGUGUGCUCAUUGUGAAUGUAUUACAUAUGGGUUCAUAAUUUUACUUUAUUUGUGCAAUGAAUGGAAAAUAAGGUGAAUGAUAUUUUAUGAUUUUUGAAGCCUGACUCUUUCAUUUGACUUGCAUUUGCAACAAGAACAUGGUUUUUGGUUUUUGGGUGGUCUGGAUGUGACAACAAAGGUGAUUUCAAUACACAACAGAAUGGUAAAUUCAUUGUUAGAAAGGUUUUUUUUUGGUUGUAUCAUGGUUGCGUUGCUUUACAACAUGUUCUUUUUUGCACGAUUUGUCACUACCUUAUCUUUUAAUAUUAAACAUUUUAGUUCACGCUUUUUCAAAUAAGAAUACUCAACCUAUUGUAAAAUAACCAAUUAAUUGUAUGUUUUAUACCCUAAAAGUAGAAAGACAUGAGGAAACCCGUGUAGAGAGUAAUAGAGAUGUGGAAAUGCCCACAAGAAUUAUAACUUUCUAAGGCCUCAAUGCAUCUGCUUUCUCAAACAAUUGGUAUCUCAAUCUCUGCCUUUAAACAAAGAAAACAAUAUUUUUAACCAAAAAGAAUGAAAAAUUCUUAAGAAUGAAAAGAACUUGUUUUAAAACAGUCCUAUCUUUUUUGCAAAAUGAAAUAACUUAGGUGAAAAAGAGGGCAAAUUCAAUUUGCACAACCUAUGCACUUCAUAAGUCAUUUUGUAUUGUAGUAUUCGUAAGUGUUACAAGCCACACUUGAAUUGGAACCAAGGGUUCCAUGUUUAGUUUUUUUGAAAAAUCAAUGAAGGAAUGUAGUACAAAUUUAUUGAUUUGCCCAUAACUAUUGUUUAACUUUGUUGAAUGUUUUCAACCAUGAUGAUGAGAUAAUUUUUUAAAAAAUAAAUGUGGUCACUGAUAAAGCGAUCGAUUUAAGAAAGAUAAAAUGAAGAAACCUUUCAUCGAUACCAUUGACAUUGUACACUUUCAAAUAAAUUGUACAUUGUUAGGUCAACUGACAUUGUUUUGAAAAAAAACGUGUCAAUCAAUAAUGAAUGCAAAAGUAGUUUCAAAACAAUUAAUAAAAAUAAAGAGAAAUAAAGAGAUUUAAAAGAAUGCACUAUGUACAUAGCUGAAAAACAAACCAAAUUUUGGAUCAUUUAUUGAUGAUUAAAUUCAUACUUGAGAAAGGGAAAAAAAAAAACAAACAAACAAACAAACAAACAAACAAACUCCAAUCUAUAUAUGUAUAACAUAAAGAUAAAAGAAGCCUUUUUGUUGUUAAAAAUCACAAUUUUCUUUUAAUAAACUAGUCAUUCUAGCUACUAAAGUAAACAAGAAUUGCCUUUGUGAAUAACAUUGAAGAAACAUGAAUGGUUUCAUUAUUAUUCAUUUUUUUGUUUUGUUUUAUUUGGAGUUUUAAUUCUUUAGACGUUGAUUUCUGUUUGGCAAAUUGAAAUGUCUCAACUUUUCCAUAGCCAACAACAUGAGUUUCCACUAGUUUUUUACAAGGGUACUUUUAAUAGAUAAAAACAUAAAAUAAACAUAAAGAAAAAUUAUAUGCAAUGCUCAAUUUUAUUAAACUAUGCUUCACAAACAAAAAUUCAAUGUGUAAAUGUGAUACCAAACAAAAAAAACUUUUAUUUUCAAAUCAACUUAUUUUUUGAAUUGUUUGGUCAAUAACAUUAAUUUUUUAUCCUUGAUUCUAUAACAUCAUUCAACAAACUAUUUCUUUUUAAUUGUUUAUCCUUGAGAAAUUUUUAUAAUCGAGUAAACAUUAAUGAAAGAAGAAUAAAUAAUUACAAAAACACCAGUCUUAUUUGUGUUAAACAUGGUUCAUUUUUAAUUUACAACUUUCAGCUUUACACUCUUGGUUUAGAAUUAGAUUCACAUUAUCUAUGUUCUUUUGAGUUUAUUGAUUUUAUUCUGGUAAAUUUUUGAAUGUAUGCAUAAUACCAUACUUAAUAUUAUUCCAAAGCAGAAUCCAUGUCAAGCCAAAUUAAAGAGAAUCCAUGGGGAGUGAAUUUGGUUUAAAUGAGGAUUCAAUUCAGUUUGUUUCACUAGACUCAUCACACUCUUCCUCAUUUUCUACACACAAGAAUGAAUCACCAAAACGGAACCUUUACAGCAGAAAACCAUCCUUUCCAAGACAAAAAUCUUUUCUACACUCUUCACUUUUCCAUUAAGAAUUGCACACAUGGUCAUGGCAACGGCAGCUGUCGGCAUUCUUCACUGGAGUCGGUGAGAUUUUCCUUCCGAAGCGGAACAAUUCAAUGCCAUUUUCGACUUGUGGAUCCCCAAGGAUUUUGCACACUUGAUCUGUGUUUUCGACGAGACAGGAAGGUGUUCAUCGUUGCAGAUCUGCUUCAGCUAUGGCUUCACGCGACACUAGUGGAUUGGCCCCCACACAUGUGCUGUGAACUCCAGGUUCUGGUCUUCAAUGAGAAGGAAGCAUUUCCCUUGACCUAAUUUGCAAACUGGCGGGCCAGUUGCAGGAACGUAGAAAAGGUUUAGGGUGUGCAGGUUUUUUUAAUUCACCAUGUGCUUUUUCAUGCUUAGAAAAAUCGUAUCUCAUCAGCAGCACAAUUGGGUCCCCCAUUAGUGGUUGUUUUCGGGUGCGGGUAAGUUUUUGCUCAAUGUCGGUACAAGUCGAGGAAUCCUUCGAUCGUUGUUGUUGUUGAUAUUGUUGAUAUUCAUAUCUUGUAUAUGCCGCCUGGUGGAGGCGCAUGUCGCCCUCCGCAUCCGUGAGGUUUGUGGUAUGGGGGAGCACGGUUUAACUCAGUGUAGUUGUAGUUGUCGAUCCGCUUAGGCACGUUCUGGAAUCGGGACAAGAUGAACCUCUUCUUCGGAGGUGCCUGGGAAUGAAACUUGUCCCUGAUGAAAUCUUUUGAUAGCUCGAAAGUUUUGUUGGUGAUGACCUCCAUUCGCCGUGGUGCCUCCGCGUGCUUCUCUGGAUACCUUGACUUGAAGUACUCGUUCAUGUCGACCCAGUCAUCUUGGUAUCCACCUGCUAUCAGCGUCUCAAAGUUUCCAUCUCUGCAUAAUUGGAUGCAAUACCACAUACCAAAUUGGAAAGCGUAGUCUCAUUCAGAAGGAAAUUCAAUGCGGGAUUCACGGGUUGGGUACACACACAAGACUUAUUUUUGGCAUUGUCGAAGCAGUCGAAUGAUAUUCUAGGGUGUAGAACUUUGGUGCAGAAGUUGAAUGUAUUACCCGGGGUGUGAAAUCCCAUAUCUAUGAUUUGGGUUGUUGUCUGAGGGUAGUUUCCAUGUUGUGUUCUGCACAAAACAACAUACACAUGAAGCAGAGCUCUUAUGUGUUCUUCAUUCAUCGAGCUAAAUAGUGGCAAUUUCCCAUUCAAUUAAGAUGCAAGAAUUCAUAUAACACAAGACCUCAUCAUGUACACUUCUGUUGCAACUGCAGGCAUUACAAAUUUACGCGCAACAUGAAUGGAGAACGCUUUUCUGGAUUUGUUCUUUUUACAAGGACUUUUUUAGGUUGUAUAUGGCAGAAGAAUCGCUCCCGGGCAGUUCGCUGUUCGUUUGCUUUACAAUAAUGGCUGCAGAUUCACAACAAACGGGGGCAAAACAAUGAGAUUUCACAGCUCAUGGAUCUGCAAUAGGUCAACAAAUGACAUCAACAGAACUACCGUCACUGCGUCACGUGGUUACAGAGAACUAUGGGAAUGGUAAAAGAUUCCAGAGGCACGGCAAGCUAUUUCUCCUUACUGGAUGGCAGCUGCCUUGUUCAUUUUCUUGAAAUCAGCACCAUAACGUUCCUGCGGAGGUGCUGCAACCGUCUCGGGAUGCUCUAUCACUGUACACACCCCAAGUAAAUGUGAUUCCAAUAACGUUUUUGUGAUUUCUGCUAAAUUUUCUAUUGUGUGCAAGAGCAGCAUGUCUUAUGAAAUGGUUUUGAAUUUCAACUCUUAAGAAAAUAUUGGCAUUGUUGUUCGGUCAAGCUGUGCAUUAGAACAUUUGUUUUUUCUUAGACAUACUUGUGGCAACCCACCUUCUUUGACGCCAAGAGCACCUCGUUCACCGGGUCUUCCGUAUAUGAAGUGAGGAUCGCGGAUCCUGUGCGUGACUCUUCUUGGCUGGAGUGUCACCCCAAACGAUUGUGCUAAAGAUCAGAACGUAACAUUUUUCUUGGACUUUAGCAACAGCAGUACAGAUUCAUGCUUUUUUGUAGUGUGUGUAUUAUGACUACUAUCCACUUUACUGAAACAAUUCCAGUUUAUGAUUGAAGAUUGGAAAGGUUGAGGUGAUUACAUGACCGAGCUCUGCUUUAACAAGGUUCCAGUUCCACUUAGAAGAUGCACGUGCCAUCCCACACCUGCGAUGAUCGGACUCGGCAUACAAAUGCAUUAACCCCAUUUUUGGGCAAUUUGGGUUGUGUAUUCCUCUCUCUUUCACCGAGUCUCCUCCUCACUUAUACCUUCUAUCUAGUGGGUAAUUCUAAACCCUACUUAUUUGUGUCUUUCAUUUUGAAGUCACCCCUUCCAUGCACCGAUUUGCUCCUUAGCUAGCUGAAAUUUCACACCAAGUAUCUCAGUCCUACUUCCAUUCGUUGCUAGCCCUUUCAUGAGCUUCAACUAUAUCUCGGUUCAGAUUCUGCUCUCUGCUAGAAUUUCAGCUCACUGUGCAGUUAGUCAGUUGCUUAAUUAUCAAUUCCAUAUUGCCGCGAAGAGAUCAAAGUUGCCAUUAGAGUACGAACUGAAAGAGAAUCGAGACACUAAAAAAGAACUGAACUCAUUGCGCGGAGAAACAAAAUGUGUUGUGGAACAACACCAAGACGCCGCUACAACUUGCAGUAAGUAACAAAGAUUUAUUUUUUGUUCAUUUUUUUUUGUCUCUUUUAUUCUCUGUCACAGGUAACCAUUGAUCUCUGAUGCCCUUUCUUUUGACGCCUUGUGUUUCCUACUUCUCAUGUACAGAGAGCACAGAACGAAACAUGUUCACCCGACUUGCGAAUUUGAGGGAGCACAGUGAUGCUGCUGGCGGUUCGUGGAUUUGGUGAGACACUUUUAACCCACCUGCUUUGAUCUCUCACCCAUCGUAUACUUCACGUUGAUCUGUUACCAACAACAGCUUUUCUUCUUCGUUAAAUGCAAACCGGUCCAUGUCGAGGCCAACCGUUGUCGAAGUACCCUAUUGGUUUUGUAGCUCCUCCACAGAUCUCCGAGUGUGCACAAGGUUCGGCUACCACAAGAACUUGACAUUUUCCCAGUUGUAAUAGCAGGUUUGAAACUGUAACGGUCUCUCGGAUUCCUAACGGAUUCAGGAUGUCCGUAGCUCUCUGGAUCACAAUUGCAUCACAAUCCCAGUGGACAUAUUACUCUCAACAAAUUACGUUCCUGAAAGGUAUUGUCUCUUUUCAGAUCUAAGAGCUAAUUUCUAAAUAGGAUUUUUGUUCUUCAAGUGGCUCUUGACUUGGUUUUAUAGCAUUAUGGUGGAUAGAUUAGUGCAAGGCUAGUUGUUUUAGGAUUCAUUAUUUGUGCAACCAAAUCCUUUUUCUUUAGUUGAUUGUGGAUAUUCACCAAGAUAUAGUCUUUAGGUGGUAGUCACCAAGACAUUCUACUUUGGCUAAUAUUAGAAAUAUAUAUUUUUUAACAUGUGUAAAUAAAGAUAACAUUUGAAGCAACUUAUAUAAACCAAAUUUGUGUGGUUUGAUAAAACAAGGCCCAAGUAUAGAUUGAGAGUGUUUUUUUUAUCGUUGGUUUUUUUUCAUAUUGGGCCAAUAGAUAUGUUUGAGGUGGACAAUCUAUCAUAAGUUAUUCCUUUGAAAGUUUUGUCAAUUUAGAUUUGUCCUCUUUGAACACUUGUAUAUCUAAAUUUUCUUCUAUUAAGCUUUUUAUGAUUGGUUAUACUAAAUACAAUAGCAUGACAUGCUCAAAAAUUAUCUUUUUUACAAAAAAAUUAUAAAUGUAGUUAAAAUAUCAUAUUUAAACUUAUAAAGAAAAAUCUAUUGCAAGUAACUUUUGUAAUUUAAGAUUAGAAGAGCAAGAAGAAAUAUAGAGACAUCAUUUUUCAACUCCCUAUCAUAAUAUCAAUUUAAAUAUAGAUAAAUACCUUAUACUUGAAUUUUAAUUGCAAAUUUUUUUUGUUAAAUUUAGUGAUGAUUUGACUUUUUGUAUUUGGCUUUUGUAUAUAAUGUAUAUUAAUUUUUGCUUUUGAUAAUCUUUAUUAUUACUAUCUUUUUAAUAUCUCUAGACUUUAACACUUUAUUCAUUAAAUUUGGUUGAAAUUUUUAUUAUUAUUUAAGAGAUAUAUACAAAUAUAUGGAUGAUUAUAUAUAUAUAUAUAUAUAUAUAUAUAUAUAUAUAUAUGCUAACAAAAAUAUAGUAGCACUUUUUAAUUAUUUUUUAAAAAAUAUAUGUAUUUUGUAAACAUCUUUAAAGAUAAUUUUAGAAAGUAAAACUUUCAAAUAAUCAAACCUUCAAUAUUAGUUUGUAGUUUUUAUUUUUUAUAACAAUUGUGCACAUUGUUUUUAUUAAUAUAUUAUACUGAGCAAUUUGCACAAACACCAAAUUACCAUUCUUUUUAAUAUAAACUUUUAUAGAAAUAUUACACUAAUAUAUUGUAAUACAUUCUAUAAUAUCUAACAUGAAGGUUAAGAAAUUAUAAAAUUACAAUUUUAAUAAAAAUAGUAGUAAUAAAAUAAUAAAUCAAAUAAUAACAAAGCACAUAAAAACAAAAAAACAAAAAAAAUGAAAAAAAAUUGUGAAAAAAAUACUAGAAGCAUCCACAAGAAAAUAUAAUAUAAAUUAUUUUUUAAAAAUAAUAAGAACAGUUGCAAAGUAAAUUAUUUAAGUAUAUCAACAAGAUAUAUUGGCCUAAUCUUGAUAUGUAUUAAUAUAAAAAAUAAAUUUUUCUAAUUUUGAAGGACCCAUAUUUAUUUUAAUCAUAAAAUGGCCUUAUUAUUCUUAUUAUUAGAUACAAAAACCUAACAUAAUUUUUUAACCACAAGAAAAUUAUCUUAUCCAAUAUUAUGAACAAAAUAUGAGCUAAGUUAAGAAAACCUCUACUUUUAUUACUCAUACUUUUAUUACACCAUAAGUAAACUUUGAAAAACUUCAAAGUUCACUUAUUUAUUUAUUUACAUACUAAUCAAACCAAAAUUUUACUUCAAAUUUAUAAGUGACGCGUUUAAAAAAUAAAUUAGAACAAAACUAGAAGAUCAUAAAACUCAUGUACUCCAAUAUUAAGCAUGGUUCCCAAUUAGCUAAAUAUAUUUUUAUUACUUAUUUAUUUAUGUUGGUUGGUGUGAAAAUAAAUAAUAAAUAAAUAAAAAUACAUACAUACUCAAGAAUGGAGAUAACUACUUUUCUUGAGAAAAAAAAGGUAAUUUUUAUUUAAAGUUUGGAAGCACUAGUUAGAUUUGAUUUUUCUUUUGGUACAAGUGGGUAGACCCCACACUCAUCAACAAAUGGUAUUGACUAGGUCUGGAUGGAUGGAUGAAUUGAACGAAUGAACGACGAACGCAAAUGAACAGGAAGACAACGAUGGAUGAAUAUAACAUUAUUCAUCCAAUGGGAACGAAUGAGAAUUGAUGUAUUCUCGAUGGUUACGAUGAAUGAUAUAGUUCAUUCAUUUAACCAACGGAACGAGGUUCAUUCAUCCAUGUUCCCUUCACAGAGCGGACUUUCUGACCGUUCUGGGAAGCAGGCAUAAUUGACUUUAGACGAAGGGGCCGGAACUCUUCAAGUGUGAACGAAAACACGCCCCAAAUUAUCACGGUUCACACUGCAUCCAGGCCCAAACCCUAAUUUCGAAAAAAGAAAACAACACCCACAAACAUGCAAUUCCACAGGAAGAAGAAGAAGAAGAAGAAGGAGGUGCAAAAGGUGGGAGGACAUUGUCUCCAGAUCACAUGCCGAAGCAGGGACUGACACCAUGAAUCGAAGAAUAUUUGUGGGUCUUGUCCUCACUCCCGCCCGCUUUUCACCGCCGAAGCGGAAAUUGGGAUGGACGUGGACGAUCGCCCAGAUGUUGCGCAGCGGCAGUGGGCGAGAGCCAGGAAGGGAGUGAAGGUUGAAGCAUUCGCCGCCUUGGAAGGGAAUUGACUGGUGGUACACGGAGCUGAGCGAUCCGGACCCCGCUCGGCGCGCAGUUUGGCCGAAUUUGCCAUUCUAAAGCAGAAUCGCAUUCGGCCGAAUCUGGCGAAGGUCGUGAGUUGAAUCCCAUUGCCCCUGACCUUAGAAUCCAAGGAUGGAAGUGAAGGAUCCGAGAGGUCAAACUACGAGCGCCUUAUAUUCAGUUCGUGUGGGACAACAGACUGCUUCGAAACCCCAAUUCGAGCUCAGCUCUAUCUUCUUCCUGCCCUUUCUGCCUGCUGACCUAAUCAACCUUUCCAGGUAAUUCUGAAACAAUGAAUUUAGGGCUAGACCAUAUCUGUAAAUGGGUACAAAAACUGAUAGAAUUUUACUCUUCGAAAGUAAAAAUACUAAGAAAGGAUAAUGUGAUGGCUGUGUUGGUUUUUAUGAAGCAAGCAUGGAAACCUCACCUUUUAAUUCAUCAUUUGCUGGGAAAAAAGCCAUCAAAUGAAUUGAUAAUCUGUUUUCAUUAUCAUUUUAAAACAUGACAAAUUUUAUGGAUAUUUCUAUUCAGUUGUCUGAAGGAAGUUUUUUGGUGACGUUAAGUUGAUAAGAUUUCACGACUAUUAUCUAUUAUGUGAAAUCUUAUCAACUAAACGUCACAAAAAAAAAACUUCCUUCCACUUGUAUCUUAUUAUUGUGGUUUGAUUAUGAUUAUGGUGACAAACAAGCUGAAGCAUAUACAAUGUAGUUGCAAUUAAAGCAUUAAUUGUAAAUAGUUUGUUGAAACCACGCAGACAAUUCUAGAAAAUGGUCACUGGAAUGCUCAAGCCAAGAAUACAGUCUUCAAAUGAAAAGUUGAAGCAUGAAAGAUAAGAUUCAAAAAAGCAUUAUGGAAUCUUCAUGCUUGGUUGAGAAACCAAGAGGGUGCAACUUUAAAAGCGUGUGAUUGGCUAAAAUUGAGAAGUCUCAAUUUGUUGGCUUUGUCCUCAUAAAAAUUGACAAAAAUAAAGUUAUGAGAAAAAAUAAAAUAAAGUGAAAUAUACUUCUUGAGUACAUGACAUGACAUGACGAUGUUGUCCUUGAAAACUUGCAUCACACCCUUUUUAACAAAUGAUUUUUAUAACAAUUAAAAAUACGUGCCAAAAACUGCUAAAAUGAUACAUUCGAAAUACAAUUAAAAAAAAAACCAAAAUUUGAUAUUACUUUAGAAACAUUUCAGAAUCAAAGUAUGGAAUAUAACAACAUAUAAAAAUUACAGUAGCUCAAGUAAAUCUUUUUCAUUUCAUAUGAACUUCUUAUUUUAUACUAUCUCUAAAUACCUAACCUUCUAAAGAAUGAAAUUUAUUUGCUAAAUAAAAACCUCAAAGACUUUGAAAGACUUUUAAAGUGGGGUUACACACAUGAAGACUCCACAGUAAGUGACUUUAUUAAUCACAUGCUUUGGUAAGAAAACUCGAAUGUAAUAAAGAAUAGAGAUUUCUGUAUUUGUUGCUGCACUCAUGUAAGAAAUAAUUGCAUUGAAAUACAUAUAACUAUAGGUUACAAGGUGAAAAGUUCGAUGAAAGCGUAACAUGACACCUUAUCACUUUUUCCAUUAAAAAAGAAAAAGAAAAAAGAAGACCUCUGCAAGAUACAAAUUGUGAAUGGAAAAAAAGAUAAACUGAACAAAUGUGUGGGUCUCGCUUGCGUAAUUCAAUGCGCUUCAUCAUGAAUGACAAGCCUACCACGACCGGGACUGAAAUAUGCCCUUCCUCCGACAUUCUAUGGUUGACAUCUACACAAACAUAUAGAUAUAUAUAUAUAUAUAUAUACAUAUACAUGAAUGAAAAAAGAACAAACUAAACUGGAACCUCCUCCCAACGGCAAGUCUGCCACCUUAGGUGCUGAAAUUACUGCACACUUAAUGAAACUCACCGAAUUGGUUUUAGUUGAAAUCGACAACCGAAAUUCUCCAGUUGACCUCUCAAUCUAGCAUAGACAAAAAGAGAGAGAAGAGUGACAGCGAGAAAUAGAGCCACUCUCAAUCUGGGAGCAAACUGCUUUAUUUACCUGGACCCUCUGCAGAAAUUCAGGGCAGCAAGCUCUUAGUGGAGAGAUCUGGUGCGACGACGAACUCUCAAUGUGAAUGUCUCUCUGGCGACUGCCACAGAUCCGGAAUAAAAAUCAACGUCUCUUCACCAUUCUUACCACUAUUAGCGCCUCAAACGAGUGCUUUUAAUGCACUGCAGUAACUGCAGCCAUUCCAGAUCUUGCUUGCUUUUAAUUGCAGGGAAAACGUGCCGAUACUUUUGGGUGCGACUCAAUGCCCCAGGCUACCAGUGCUCCGUGACGGUGACGAUUUGGUAUUCCAGCCCGGUCGAUGAAUGAGCCUAUCCUGGUGAUCGGUGCAGUGGUGAUACCUGGCAACGAUGUCGUUCUCUAGUUCGAUUCAGAGAUGAGACAAACUGGUGUUUUUGGGAGGUUGUGGAUCUACGGAGGUCGGUAAUUUGCCAGGCUGGAGCGUGAUUGACUGGAAGCGAGGGAGUUUGUUCCUCGCUGCUCAUGCCACUGGCGAGUGUCGUGGUUUGUUGCCCCAACUCGGCUCUGCUGGGUCCCGGUUCUGCUGGCAGUAGAGUCCUUGGUGGCUCGUCUUUCGACUGGUGCGCCGGCGUUAUGCUGUUGUGCGUAUCGUGGGAUGACUUUUGCUGCUGCCGCAUUGAUCAGCUUUGGAGCGUGCACGCGAAAAGGAAGCCACUGGUGUGUUAACGUGGGGUGUAACUAUUCUGGAUGUGCCGUGCUUGGAGGUUGUUAGAACUGUUGAACAGCGUCCUUUCCUGCUUGAGCGCCGGAUUGAAGAGGUCGUGUGGGUAGCGAGUAUUACUGGAGGUUUCGCAGCGGUGGACGAGUGUUGCGUAGACCAUAGUGAACUUUUUCAGCGCUAAUAUGUGCAUUGAACGGCAGAUGAAGUGGCGUGGUGAUUUUGGACGUGGAGAGACGGGUUGUUUGGUACACUUGUUUCGAGUUUAGGGGACAACGUUUCAUGCACUUUGCGAUUUGUGUUUGGCGGGAAGUUCGAUAUAGCAUUGCUUGGAGGGUGUACCGGAGAAGAGAUUUUUGUGAAAGAAGCGGGAAGAGGACUGUGGAUUUCAGAGUAAAACUACAAUUGAAAAUGUGACAGUGCAUUGAUUGGAUGGGAGUGACUCUAAGCAGUCUGGUUGAUUUCGCUAGUGGAAACUCCAUUGUCAAAACAUUGUACAAAACGGAUUAGUUUUCUCUGCAUUGCGAUUGAGAGAGUAGGCAUUAGGCAAGGGUGUACUAGGAUGCCGGCGUCGGGAAGUAAACCCGAGUAGUCUGCAGGUAUUUUUCGGACAGUUUCACAAACCUGGUCGCUGAAGACUACCUACUACCAGGAGGCUCAUCUCUGGCGACGGGAGUGAAAGUGGCGAAGAGUGUUUCUUUCAUGUCGUUCGUCUCAUGAGGAUGCAAUGUUUCAUGUUACAUGAUGCUAGGCUAAACAUCAUUUUGCAAUGGUAGUCAGCAGCCUUCUUUUUCCUCAUCUCGGAAGUUCACGUUCCAAGACAUUCGAUGCAGUGCGAUGGUGUUUAGGUCAUCACAUUUUAUUACUUUACAAGUUGGUGUGCCAAACAGAUGAAGCGCAGCGACCUGCUCAGUGACAUUGUAGCGGGAACUGUUCAGCAAGUGGAAUUUCAGGGUUCCGGAGAUGCAGAAACAUGAUGCCAUCGAGAGUAGCUGUCAAAGGGCGAUACUCCUCUAGGGGUGACACUCAUUUGGUUAUGGCGGGGCCGAAUGCUACAGUGGUUACAUUGCUGCUACUGACGACGAUUGUUUUCCCAGGCGUCGCUGCACAGACACCCGAUGAGACCCACCUUUUUAAUUUUUUGAAGAAUGUGCUGCCGGAUUUCAAGCUUUACUUCAACACAUCGGUUCCUACUUGUGACUGGCAAGGAGUUGUGACUUGCAUCGGGUUAGGACCCCGUGCACAGAUACGGACUCUUACCCUAAGUGGUCGUGGGUUAAAUGGAACCAUUUUGCCAGAUACAUUGGGCGCUCUCAGUUCAUUGCAGUUCCUUGACUUGUCAAAUAAUCUUCUCUCAGGAGAAAUUCCUCUAGACAUCUACAAUCUCUCCAGCCUUUCGUUUAUUAGGCUUGCCCAGAAUAGGUUGACAGGUGGCUUGUCUCCGAUGGUGAGCAAACUUGUGCAGCUAGCCACUCUAGAUAUCUCACAGAACCUGCUUUCUGGGCCCUUGCCUUCGAAGCUUGGGGAUUUGCAGUUUCUAGAAGUUUUAGAUCUCCAUUCAAACAAUUUCUCUGAAAACAUUCCUGUGCUUAGGCAGAGAAACCCUGUUCUUCAGAACCUGGACCUUUCGUCUAAUCAGUUGACUGGAGAGGUGCCUUGGGCGUUUGACAGUCUCACUACAUUGAAGUUGCUCAAUCUGAGCAGGAAUUCGUUGACAGGAGCGUUAACUUGGCAAUUUGAGAGGCUUGAAGGGUUACAGACUCUUGACAUUUCUAGAAACGCAUUGGAGGGGCAAAUUCCGGGUUUUGGAAAUUUAAAAAAGUUGCUUAAAGUGUCACUCUCUUCGAAUAGAUUCAAUGGCAGCGUACCUUCGUCCUUGAUUGGGCUGUCUGAUCUGCAGGACCUCUCAGUGGCGGACAACAGGUUGGGAGGUUCUCUUCCGCAACUGGCAUGGGCUGAUAGUAUGAUAAGCUCCCUGGAUUGUAGCAACAACUUUUUGAACGGUAGCGUCCCCGCAGAGUUAUUUGCAUCUCCUAACCUGGUAGUUGUGAGACUUUCCGGCAAUAACUUCACAGGAGCUCUACCAGAAAAUGUUUCGUCUAAAAUACGGGAGUUGGAUCUCCACAGCAACAACUUUGUUGGCACCAUUCCAAAGAGCAUAGUCACUCUACCAGCACUGGAGAAGCUGGAGCUAUCUUCUAAUCAGUUGGGUGGUCCCCUUCCACGGGACUUCAACGGGUUGAGCUCAAUCAACUACCUGGGGUUGGCUAGAAAUUCAUUUGAGGAAGGGCUACUCCCAGAUGUUACUGGAAUGACCAAGAUCUCCUACCUAAAUCUCUCGUCUUGCAGCCUUGGAGGGCCUAUACCAGACUCAUUUGCUGCACUGAAGAGCCUGGUCUCUCUUGAUCUUUCUCACAAUCAUUUGAAUGGAAGUAUUCCUGUGAGUUUGUCUGCAGCAGCAUCUUUGGAGUCUUUGGAUCUGUCUUUUAAUAACCUUACAGAUGUGAUUCCAGCCGAGCUUGCGUCUCUUGCUUCCUUGCGCCAUGUGAACUUUUCCUACAACAAUUUGAGUGGAGAAGUUCCCAAUUCAAAGCAAUGGGCCGCUUUUGGCAGUGCUUCUUUUCAAGGCAACCCGCACCUCUGUGGUUUGGUGUUGGAGAAACCCUGUUCCUCUUAUUCACCUCCUACUCCAGGAACUUCGGGUCCACAUCAUGGACGACACCGGAGGCGCCUCUUAAAAGUGGGAGCAAUUAUUGGGAUUGUAUUAGGGAGCAUAGUGUUAUGUUGUGGGUUUCUAACCAUUUUGCUCUUGUUCAUAAAAAAGAAGCCUAAGAAGCUGACAGACAGAGAGGUCUCCAAGUACCUUUCGAGUAAACUCCCGGUGACGUUUGAAGCGGACCCAAGCACAUGGGCAGGCCAAGUUCCGCAGGCCGGGUCUAUUCCAGUAAUAAUGUUCGAGAAGCCUCUUCUUAACCUCACAUUUGCAGACCUCCUGAAAGCCACCUCUCUCUUUCAUAAGGACAAUCAGAUAUCUGAUGGAGGUUAUGGUCCAGCCUUCAAAGGGACGCUGCCUGGGGGUUUUCAAAUUGUUGUCAAGGUUCUGUAUGAAGGCGGUCCUGUCAACGAGUAUGAGAAAGCAGCACAAUUGGAGUCGUUAGGGAGAAUCAGACAUCCCAACCUCGUGACUCUCGUUGGCUAUUGCUUGGUGGGUGACGAACGAGUGCUAGUUUAUGAGUUCAUGGAAAACGGUGACCUCUCGAGUUGCCUACAUGAACUACCUAGUGGUAAAAAAUUCACCCUCUUCCUUUUCUUUUAGAUAAUCCUUAAAAACUACUAGCUGUUUAGUUAAAUUAACGACCAUUUCUUAGUCUUGAAAAAUAACCUUCAAAUGUAAUAAUUGGAAGUGUCGGAGCCUUUCUGCAAGUGACGAAAUGGUGUUUCAUACAGCGUGUUUUGUAAUGAAUAGAAACAUCUUUCCGCUUCAUAUAUCGUGAUGGAAAUACCCCCACAUUGACUAUAGGUAAUGUGAAAUAGAGAUACACAUAGAUCCUUUUCCAGUAGAAAUCAAGUGAUAGGUGCACUAAAAAGAUACAUGUCUGUUUUCAGGCCAGCAAAAUCCCGAAGACUGGUCCAAAGAUACAUGGGAAAAUCCAGACUUCGAAACGAGAAAUGAUGUACUGAGCUGGCAAGUGCGGCACCGCAUCGCCCUGGGAGUGGCACGGGCACUGGCCUUUUUGCACCAUGGCUGUUGUCCCCACCUUGUUCACCGCGCAGUAACAUCAAGUAACAUUUUGUUGGAUUCGAUUUAUGAGCCUCACCUGGCAGACUCUGGGCUCGGGACCCUCACUGUCACUGGAGGACCUGAUUCAGAGGCUCCAGCUUACUGUGGAUCUCCAGGCUACAGUCCCCCCGAAUAUGGCCAGUUGUGGAAGGCAACGACUCGUGGUGAUGUGUACAGUUUCGGGGUGCUGGUGCUUGAACUUGUGACAGGGAAGAAGCCGACGAGUCCAUACUAUCACGAAAGCUACGGCGGGAACCUGGUGGGGUGGGUGCGCGCGCUGAUCCGGGAGAAGCGGGGGUACAAGUGCCUGGACCCGAGGCUGGCGAGCUCGAAGGUGGAGAGCGAGAUGCUGGAGGCUCUGCGGAUCGGGUACCUGUGCACGGCGGAGCAUCCUUCGAAGCGGCCGACGAUGCAACAGGUCGUGGGUUUGCUGAAAGACAUACAACCGGAGUUUAGUGGUGCAGCAGCUUAGUCGCUUAGGAUGGAUGUCUCUGCGCUCUCGUACCGCUCUGCCGGUUGCUGCAGGAAGCCGGUUUGCGCGAUUGCAGGGUUUGUAUAGGAUUGUCAUUGUACACUAGGAUCCGGCGAUUUUCCUGACUGACGAGUUGUAGGCGACGUGUGCUGAUACAUACAUACAUUAAUAUAAAUCUGUCUCAGCUCAGGUGGGUGCGAUAAUAAGCAUGGCACACCACGGCAGUUGGGUUAUUCAUACGAGACUUGUUGUCAGCGUCUCGCGGGCACGAAAAGAAAGUGGGAAUGUUUGGGAGGCACACGUUAUUACUUGACUGACGCGAGGAACCUGAUGAUGCAAGGUGCAGAGCGCGAUUGUAUUUGGGAGCUUGUGGAAUGGACGUAUCGAGAGGAGGUGAGGAUGUGAGUGACGAGAGAGUGUAGGUCAUGGCUCUGGUUAGCGGUGACUUGGAGGAGCAGAGGAGUGAUGGAUUGGCAGGUGUCUCCAUGCGGGUGAUCAUGAGUUGGAUGUGCAGAGCUGCAGUGUUGCACCCGAAGGUACGAUUGAGGGGUGAGGCUGCGUAACUAUACGGAACAAUAAGGGCGGCGACUUGGGGUUGUGAACUGAUGCACAUGAAGAGUGCAGAAUUGAUGCAAAGCCAAGCUUGUGGAAAUCGCUGAGUGCGACAGAAAAUAAUAUUCAAUAAUAGAGCCCAUCAUAUUGAUAUUAUAAUAUUCAAUAAUAGAGCCCAUCAUAUUGAUAUUAUAAUAUUCAAUAAUAGAGCCCAUCAUCGACGAAAAUGAGAACAAUGAAUUUCGAAUUCAUAUCUGAAUAAUGAACACAUGCAGCGGCAGCAUUUUGCUUAAGCUGGUGAGUUGAUAAGAAUGUAGUAAGACGCUCAUUCCACGCUCGACUCGCUUCGCGCAAUCCAUGUAGUCGGGUUCUGUGGAUCCUCGAAGCCAGGCACUUGUUUCAUGUAGGUUUCUUCGUGUAAUUGACCAUGUAGAAAAACCGUCUUAAUAUCAAACUGUCUGAUGUGCAUGUCCUCUCUUGCGACUAUGGCAAGUACAAGACGAAUGGAAUCGAAUUUCACUGUAAGUGAGUAAGUUUCAUGAAAAUCAGUACCGAAUUUUUGCGAGCACCCGUUGGCGACCAAACGUGCUUUGUAACGAUCUAUGGUAUCUAUGGUAUCAUCCGGCUUAGUUUUUAAGGCAUACACCCACUUACAAUUGAUUGCCUUCCGUCCAAAAGGAAGAUCAGAUAAUGUCCAUGUUUCAUUUCGAAUUAAAGAAUCAUAUUCUUCCCGCACAGCAUGCUGCCAUUGUGAUGAGUUAGGAGAAGCAAGCGCUUCAGAAUGUCUUGGAUAGCUGAAUUGGAUAAAACUGAAGAGUACGCAAAAGACGGUAUGGCGGAGAUGGAAGAAAGAGUGUGAACUGAAUUGGCAGAAGAGUAUCUCCAAUCAUUCUGCGAGUAACCAAAACGUUGAGGUGGUCGACGUUGUCCCUGUGAGGAAGAUAAUAAAUUGUGUUCUGAAUCCGACGAAGCCUGUUGAUCAGAAUUGCGAGACUCAGAAGUAGAAGAAGUUGAAUUUUCUGAAUGAGUUUGUUCAGAAUUGAAUUUUAAAAUCUGAUCUAAAGAAGGUUCCGAAUUGAAUGAGGAAGGCGUAUUAUGGGUCUGCGAAUGAUCUCGAGUAGGCUGUGUAUUCGCAUGAUCAGUAAUAGGACAUUGCACUGAAUCAUUACUAGUAUUUUCAAUAGAUGAUAAUCGGCGAGUGCGAAGUGUCGGCAUGUGAUCCAAUUGGUUAUCAAAUCCAGGAGCAGUGGAAGGAGAAAACAGUAGUUGCUGGGAAUUAUGAGAUGAAUCUGGAUCGGGGUUAUUUAGAGUAGAAUUCUUUUGUGGGGUAGAAAUUUUCUGUAAUGGAGUGAAUGGUACAUCUGUCGAAGCAAUUCUGGAUGAUUCAGCAACAGCAGGAGAUAUCGUGGGAGAAAAAUAUUCAUGUUCAGCAAAAAGAACAUCACGGCUUAUAAUUACUGGCUUCCUUUUUGGAUCCCAUGUACGAUAACCCUUUGACUCAUCAGAAUAACCUAAGAAGAAUCCGAUUUGGCUUUUAGGAUCAAGCUUUCUUUGUAAUUGAUAUGGAAUAUGUGUGAAAACUCUACAUCCAAAAGGUCUCAUGUGAGCAAGAGCAGGCUUUUUACCCGUACAAGCUUCAUAAGGUGUAAUUGUAGGAAGAAGUCAAGAACAAGUUCUGUUUAAUGUAUAAACAAUAUUGUCAACUGCCUCUGCCCAUAAAGCAAGAUCUAGAUGUGAAUGGUAAAUAGAACUUCGAAUUGCUUCCACAAUGGUAUAGUUAUCUCUUUCUGAUGCUACGUUUUGUUCAGGAGUAUAUGGAAUUGUAAAUUUAUGUUUAAUGCCUUCUGGAUGUAAAUAAUCAAUAAAAUUUUUACUACAAUAUUUGCCUCCAUUAUCAGUACGCAAUGUAAGUACUUUGUAACCUGUAUCUCGAAAAAUAGCCUUGCAUACCUUUUGAAAACAAAGAAGAGCAUCUGGUUUUUAUGGAAUACAAAAUACAAGACGAUAUCGGGUACAGUCAUCUUGAAGUAAAAUAUAAUAUAAGGAACCACCAUGAGAUGGAACAUUCAUUGGUCUACAAAUAUUACUAUGAAGAAGCAUUCCAGGUGAAGAUACUCGAGUUCUUGUUAUAUUGCGUGGAAAUGAAGCUCUAUGAGAUUUACCAAAUGCAUAGGAAGAACAAAUACUAGGAGGUUCAAUAUUUUUAAUUUUAAUAACUGUCAUAGAUCCGUUUGUAGCCAUGCGCUUGAUCGUAUCACAAUGCAAAUGCCCAAGUCUUAAAUGCAAUGUAUGUAAAUCUUGUAAUUCUUCUGAUGAUGAAAUAUUUCCAUAGGAGGCUGCAUAUGAGACAUUGACUGAAGGAAGUAAAACUGUAAAAUCAAGUAUAUAUGAUCCUUGAUGCAUUCGACCAAUUAUUAUAAGUUAAUUGUCUUGAAUUAACUGACACAUGUGAUCUUUACAAAGUGUAAAUUUUUUAUGUUGUGCUACCUUUUUGAGACCGAAUAAAUUUCUCCUAAAACUCGGAAUAUAAAGUACCUAAUGCAACAGAUGGACUUCAUUGCCAGUGGGUAAUUAUAUUAGAAUUUUAAUAUCACCAGUUCCUGUGACAUAAGAUGUGUGCCCAGCUGGAGUUUCAACUGGCCACAUAGAAUGAUGGGAUAAUGGUUGUAAUUAAUGAACCAUUGUAAUUGAUACGUCACAAGUUCUAUUGCUCCACUGUCAGCAAUCCAUCCAUUGAUAAAUCCUCCAGAAGCCAACAGUGAAGCAUUAUAAGCUCGAGUUAAAUCAUUUGAAAAAUCAAGAGAAUAAAUCUGUGGAUUAUAAGAGUGAACUUGUUCUGGUUGAGUAUAUAUAAAUUCUUGAGAAGAAGCUGAAGAAUUAAACUCAUCCUCUGAAUAUUGGACUUCUAGUGGUAAGUAAAAUGUGUUUAAGUCAUCUAAAGGAACAGUCUCAUACAUAACAUUUCCAAAAGACAAUGAACGACCAUCUAUGACUUCUACAUGUACGAAUUCAGUUUUUUGAGUAAAGGUAUUUUUUGAUUUUUGACAAAAUCUUAGUCUAUAAAACAAGCUAAGGCUCCUGAAUCUAAUAAGGCAAGGACUUUGUGAUUUUUAAGUACUAAAUGCACAUCUAUUAUAAAACAAGGUGAGGGGUCUGAGGAGAGAAUAUGACCUUUAUUAGGUGUUGUAUAUGAUUCCAACUACACAGUCCCUAUCAUAGUUAGAGAAACUCGUUUUUUGACACAUUAUCUUCUUUGGUAAUUGUACUCUUUAUUUUGUAAUUGCAUUGCUUCUUUGGACAAUGUUGAGCAAUGUGCUUAGCUUCUCCACAGUAUAAACACAAACCCUCUUAGUUAUCGAGUCUUUUCCUGCUUUGUGAGAGUUUUAAAAUGUAUCGUAUUAAUUUGCAUUGAUUUUGGCCUUGGUGAAUAUGUUUCAAAAAAUUAGAAGCUGUUGCCAUUACUUGACUUAUUCAUCUCUAGCUAAGUCUUUGUUCUUGGUGCCUUUCAAAUAAUGAAUUGUCGUAUGCAAUGAUUUGAGUAAUAAAUUAUUCCAAAGAUUUUAUUUUUGGCAUUGUUAAUAAAAAAUCUUUGACACUAUCCUUUAAUCCAUAUCAAAAUUGAUUGAUGAGUGCUUUGUCAUUCUAGUCCACAUCGCAAGCAAGGUUUUGGAAUUUAGCAGCAUAUGUGGUAGCUGAUCGUGAUCCUUGUUGUAAAGUUAAGAGUUUGGUCUCUUUGUGAUUAUCGAAUAUUUCUCCAAAUGUUGCCAUAAAUACUUCUAGGAAUGAGUUCAAAUCAUAAAAGAGUAGCAAAUCUUUUUCUAUUAAAGGUGUAAACCAAGAGAGAGCACUUCUUGAUAGAAGUGUGCUUAUGAAUCCAACUUGAGUAAAUCCAUCAAGAUAUUGAAAAGGAUGCAAAUUUAGAUAGAGCUUGACUUGUUGCAAAAAUCCUCAAAAUUUUGAUCUUGUUCCAUCAAACUUCUUAAGCAUACUAAUCCUUGUCCCCAUCAUACUUGUAGAAGUAAAACUCCUUGAAUUUGGUUAUGAAGUCGAUCUACUUGCUUCCUUCAAUUGCACAACUCUUGUUGCAAACUUUGAACUUCUUCUAUAGAUGUAGGCAUAGUACCUCCAUGAUUCACAUUAAAAAUAUGUGAGAUUUCUAUUCUAAGAGUAUUGACAAGCUGAUGAAGAUUUGCAAUAGUUGCAAAUCUAUUCUCACUUCCACUAGGUAUAGUGUCCAUAAUUUUUUCUUUCGUAGGCAACUCAAACAAAUCCAAAAAGUUAAAUUAGAGGAGGGUAAUCUACAACCUCUAAUAAAAAUUUCCAUAAAAAUAGGUAAUCCACUCUCUUUAAAGAAAGUUCAGUAUUAAAAAAUAAGACUUUUUUUGUUUAAAAGGUGGAUAAUCUACAACCUUCAAAAUACAACAAUAGAAGUGGAAUAAUCCACUCACUUCUAAAAUAAGACAAUAAUAGUAUGUUAGCAGUCUUGUCAAACUGUCAGAGAUAUGAAUCUCAAAAAAAGAGAAUCCUUGAUACACUCUUGUGUCACUCAAGAGAACUAGAAAGUCACUAAAAAAGUAAUGUAAUAUUAACUAGAAUGGUUAUUGCCAAAAACAAGAAGACUAGAAAGUCUUGAAACAAGACUAAAUACUAGAACGACAUUGAAAAGAGUGAAGAAGGCUUCACUCUUGUCUCCAUAUAUACUCUUAAUUAGGAGCUAGGUAGAGAUGUCUUAUAGGACCUCCAAAAUAUGUUGACUUUGCUAGCUACAUGAUUUAACUUGCAAGGCAAGUUAUUUAUGUAUACGCCACAUGUAUGUUCCACAAGCUAUUAUGUAGAGUUAACUUGUUCCACAAGCUACCAACAUGUGGUUAACUUGUUGGCCAAGUUUUUGACCUACAAACACAUCUAAAGUCAAAAUUGCAUCUUUGAAGCUUCUAAGAAGCUUCACUAAAAGAAUUUAUAAAAUUAAUCUAUAUUUACCUAUUUCUAUCUAGUCAUAUAAGUAAUAAUUGAAGUAAAUGUAUAUAUCCAUAACAAAGAAAACAAUUGAAGAGAUUUUCAAAAGUAAGACAAAUAAUUUAGAUGAGGCUAAAAAAUGGCUCGGUUGAUUGAAGACAUGGAUAAGGAGCAAGAACAAAUAUGAAAGAAAGAAGACCAUAUGUGAGUCAUACAAUUGACUCACUAAUUAUUUUAAUACAAAGAAAAAUACUUAUAGUGCUUAAAAUCAUUAAUUAAAGAGUUUAUAUAGGAAUUAUAGAUAAAUAAUAAUUAAUAGGAUAUAGUGGCAAGAAUAGGUCUUUUGCAAAAUUAUUUGAGAAAGAAUUUUAAAAUAAAUAAUUGAUCUUUAAUGGAGCCAAUAUAGAUGUACAAUGUCUUUUAUAGUAAAUUUAUUCUUAUAGAAAUUGAUUGAAUUAGGAGUAGAGUGUAAAUUUAAAGUGAAUAAUUAAAAAAAUAGAAGAAAAUAAAAAAUAAGAAGAUAGGAAAUUAAUAGAAGAAAGUAGGAAAAAAAAGUAAUAAUAGAAAGAAAAAUAGAUAAAGAAAGAAAAAAAAUUAAAAAAAAAGAAGAUUGCUUAAAGCUACCCCCAAUUUUUGAUAGCCUUCUUACCAAUAGGAGUCUAUGUUGCCUUAUAUUUGCUUUAUUUCUCUUGAUUUUUUUUAGUUUUUUUUUCUUCACAACUUCAUAAGCUCUAGGUACUUUGGAGAAUUCUAGCUAUCUUUAUUGCAUAAUAAAAAAAGAAUUUGAAUUCUUUUUCUUAGUGUUACUAUUCUAGCUAAGGAGCUACUCAUUUUUAAUGAUAGUUGCCAACUUUCAUAUAUUGAUUCUUGCUAAAAUCCCUUAUUGUAUUAGAAAAAAAUUAUUUUGUUUUGUUGUUUGUGGUGGCGAUUCUGCUUAUAAGUAUGCUAUAAUCACGGCUUAAGCUUUGUCUUAUUUUUCUUAAUAAGUUUAUUAAUUGUAUCUAGAUACAUCUUUCAAGGAAUCAUAGGGCGAAAAUUCAGGGUAAGACUUUGCUAAUUGGAGCAUUUGAUUGUCACAUCAAGCAUCAUCAUAAGAAUUGCAAUCAACAUCAUCACUAUUGUAUUAGCUACUUUAAGUUUAGUGGCUAUAACAUUCAUUUCUUAUAUUUUCUUAUAUACAACAUGAAGCUCCAAAAGAAUUAAAAAUCUACUCAACAUUUGAUUUUUUGAUUUUUUUCAAUUGUAUAUACAAUUGAAACGUCAAUCCAUUGAAGUCUCAGGUGCUCUGUGACAAAUUUUGCAAUGGCAAUUGAGCGUAGCCAAAAAAGUGAGGCACAACACAAAGAUCUACUAUAAUGAUAAUUUUAGAAUAUUGAAGAGAAGAUAACUUGCUUCUUAGUGUAUAUAGUUGAUGUACUUUCUUUGACCAUUGACAUAGUAAAUCAUGGUUAAAAUAAGAUCUAGGAAGGAAUGAAUUUUUUCUUUCUUAUGCACUAUGCCAUUAGACAUUAAAUUAGAAGGUAUCAUUGGUAAGGUAUUAGUAUAGUGAUUUGUCCAAAUUCCUUGUAUUUUUUUCUCAAUUUGUUAUUAUUGAUCGUGUUCUUAUCUUUUUAUAUUUUCUAAUCUUUUGUAUUUUUUUCCUUACUACUAAUUGGAUACGGACCUUCUCAUUGUUCAUUUUAUUCUAUAUUAUUGAUCAUACUAUUUUUAGUUUUUUUAUUGAUGGUGAUCUUGAUGUGAGAAGAAGAAUUGGUAUAACUAUCUACAUAUCAUCUUUGAUAGCAUUAGCUCAUCAAGAACUUAGUUGAAUAGUGAAGCCACAAUUGAUUUGUGAGUGGUAUUCUUAUAUUCCUAGCAUGAGAGAUUGUUCAUUCUAUACACCUACAAGUUCAAUGUCUCAUGAGAUGAAUAUAUUCCUAGCAUAAGAGACAAUUAAUAGCUUUUGACUCUGAUUAAGCAUUGGCAGCAAUAGAUUCAAUCAAAAGAGUGAUUCUAAUACACAAUUGACAUCAAAGACUUCCAAAUUGAAGUUGUGGCACCUACAAAUUGUAAGUUCUUUACUAUAUAUGACUUUUUAAUGCGUGAGGGCUCAAAGUUGUAUAGCAAAAAUAGUUAGGAGGUCAUAUUGCUUCUGCAAUCAAGAAUUCUUAUUAGAAGUUGGAGCAUAUUAUAAAUGCUCUUAGUUUAAAGCAAUUUAUAGGUUGCAACAAAGACAUAAGAUCUUCCAUGUAUUAGAGAGGAUAGAGUCUUGACUAACUCAGUGCACAAGGCAAAAAUGCUCCUAGAAGAUGGCAUUUUUCAAGGCUGAAUUAUAUUAUUAGAAGGGAAAUCUUGGUUGACAAAUUGCAUAACGGAUCUAAAUAGCUUCAAUGAUCAUCUUCCUUUUGAGUGACUAAUAAGGUGACAAACUUCCAUAAGAUGAUGUUAGAUUAGAUUUCAAGUAAAUUAGGAUUUGGAUAAAAAUAAUAUUAAAAUUUAGGUGAAAUUUAAUAAAAAAUGAGCUUCUAUCAACUUGGAUGAAAUUUUAUAAAUGAAUAUUAUUUUAAAGUGGUUGAUUUUUUAUUCAUAGAUAAAAAUUUAUUUAUAAAUGGAAAUUUUUCUUGAAUGAAUUUUAAAUUUUUGAAUGAUAUUUAAUACCAAAUAAAAUUAAAAUUAAAAAUUAAAAAUUAUAUAAACAUAAAUUGAAUCAUCUAAAAAAAUAAACUUUUGAAUGUAAUUUUUUUUUAUUUAAAUAUUUGAAUGACUUGUAUUAUUUAAUUAGUUGUAUUGUAGAGGUUAAAGGUGAAUUUAAAUUGGUAGAAAGUUGAAAAAUUAAAAUAAAAUAGAAAAUAAUUUAAUCAAUUAAAUUAUAAAUGAAUUAAUAUAAAUAAAUUAGAAUAGAUUAUGUAUUAGAAAGAUUUAUAUUGGUCACAAUUGGGAUUUUUAUUGGAAUUAUUGGAUACUUAAGAAAAUAAUAAUAAAAACUUAUUAGAAAAUUUAAAUAAUUAAAUUGUUGUGAAUUAGAAUAGACUUCUAACUAUUGAAGGUUUACUUUACUUCACACUAUAGAAUACCAUUUUUAUUUGUAUCCAUGUCCAAAUUAUAAGAAAUUCCCAAGGACAUUCAUAUGAGGCUAAGAGAAACCAAUUUCAAUCCAUAAAUUACUAUCUAACAUCUUUAGAGGUUAAACUAUCUCCUAGCCUCCUUGAAUUGAUAUACCCAAAAGAUAGGAAUAGAUACAAAGAGGACUUAAAGAAUAAAGUUUUUCAAAGCCAAUAAGGGUGUGAGUCACUGAAUUGACUCAUUUAAGUAUUUAGUAUAAAAAGGGUACUUAUUAAGCUUAAAAUCAUAGAUUAUGUGAGUUAAUAGUAGAAUUUUUAGAAAAAAAUAGAAAAUAGAUUAUUAAUAGUAAAUAUGCAACCUAAAGUAAAAUUUAUUAAGAUAAAUUUUGAUGAUGAAUAUAUUCUUUAUUAGCCAAAAUUAGAUGAUGGCCCAAAAAAAGUAGCCUUCUUGUCAAAAGAAAAAAGAGCAUUUUAUUUUAUUAAUAGUUCUUAAAAUAUGUAUGUAUAUAUCUAUAUAUAUAUAUAUAUAUAUACACGUUAAUAGAAAAAAUAAAUAAAAAGAAAGAUAAGUUAGAAAAAAAUAAAGGAAUAGGAAAAAUAUAUAUAGUAAAAGAAAACAGGAAAAGAGAAAGAAGGAGAGAAGGAAACAGAAAAGAAAGAGAAGAAAAGAAAAAGAAGAAAAAGAAGAAGAAAAGAAAAAGAAGAAGAAAAGAAAAAGAAGAAGGAAAGAAGAAGAAGAAAAGAAAAAGAAGAAGAAAAGAAAAAGAAGAAGGAAAGAAAAAGAAGAAGGAAAGAAAAAGAAGAAGGAAAGAAUAAGAAGAAAAGAAAAAGAAGAAGAAAAGAAAAAGAAGAAGAAAAGAAAAAGAAGAAAAGAAAAAUAAGAAAAAGAAGAUAUAAAGAAAUCGAAAGAGAAAGUGAUGAGGAGGGCGAGAGGCUGCCCAGGAACAGCGGCAGCCUCUUCGUCGAUGCCGCCCAGAUCCCUCUCUCUGGUGUUUUUUCUGUUUUUUUUUGCCCUGUACGGAUUCUGGCUCGGAUCGAGACGGAUAUUUUGUCUUUGAAUUUUUUGACAUGAGUGUGUUGUGUAGAGUUUUGGUGCGGUCGAAGUGCUUUGGAAGUUCAGCGGCUGCACUGCGAUCAAGCUCUCUUUUCUUUUUUGCAUUCGGAGGGAGCUCCGAGUUUCACGGAAGGCACAGCCGAUUUUUGUUCGUUUCCCUGUCUAAGCGUGGUUUUUUCUCAGAAGGUCAAGCGAUGGAGUUGCGUUGCUGCUGGGUGUCAGAGGGUCGCCGGCAUCUUUCGAAGUGGUGUUGGCGGCAAGGAGUGGUGGUACUCGGCUGUGUCUUCCCCAUGGUUCUGCUGCGUUUUUUUCUCUACCUAGCCGGUGGGUAGAGAGUUGGUAGAGGCACUGGCUCCACACUGCUGUGGUGUAGAGCGACAACAAUCUUAGGUCUUCCGUUUUGACUCCUCAACAACUGUAGGACAGUAUUGUUGCUGGUGCGCAGGAUCAUUCGCGCUCCGGAGGGUUGUUGUUGGGGAACUAGGAGUAGAGCUUUGAAUCUAAAAGAAGGCGAAGCGCUUAGGUGGAUCUAGUGGAGUGUGCUUUUUCCUUCCCCUCGUGAUUGCGGCCCAACAAGAGUCAAUUUUGUGAUCAAAGCGAUUGCUGCACCUUGUUCGGAAGGGCCAACAAUCUGAUCGCAAUCGUUGUGAACAAGCUUUGAUUCUCCUCUUCCAAUUGGUGGUGCUACGUUGAGGCUAGAAUUUAUGUUCUCAUCUGACCAACAUAAUUCUCCUCGUGAAGUUGCUCGCACUGCAAAUCAAAAUCUCGAGGGAUUUUCCUUAUCGGCAUCCCGUGCUCUCCAUCGAACCCUCGCCGUGGAAUUGUUGUCUAUAACCUUGGCUUCUUAACCACCGCAUUGAUAGCAGCAACUAUCGUCGAUUUUACGAUACGACAAGUUGCUGAUCAAGAACUGUUCAUCAUCAACAUCGACUUUUUAUUCCUGUCGACAUCUCCAAAUUGCCAGCUACUAAGUGGUGUUCUUCUCAUGUCAUGGGGAUCCGAUUGUGACUUACUAGGGGCUGUAGCCAUCGUCAAGAUCAAGUUCCGAUUUCCGUAGAGAGUUUUGAAUGCGUUAUAGUAGCAAAUAGGAGCACGGUUAAUUGUACUAGGCUAGACUGCAUGCUCAUUGUUGGGUAAUUGGCCUUACCUUCAGUUAUUAGCUCCUUCAUGCACUGGAAGGGAAGUCCAUUCACAGGCUGAGCAAUUGGGAAGGCUACUGUUCACAUGGGAGGCUGUUGCAAAAUUGCCAUUCCGACAAGUUCAAUUGGAGGAGGACCAGCAAUCAAGCAAGGGAGCGUCAGGUGAAUCCAAGUUAGAGUUUUUGCGAGUAAUCCUCUGUGGUCGUGCAUAUCUUCACCGGCAUAGCCAACGUGGUCGGUUCAAGACGGAAAAUCAUUGCUAGACAUCCAGCAUCAUCAGUGAGGAGGGUGAAGGAAUGGAGCUGUGAAUUGGGAGGGAGUGUCCUUCUACUAUGUACAGCGAGUUGUUUUUUUCGAUCCUUCUUAGCCGUUGUGUAAAGAAAAAAAUAUAAAAAAAUAAUAAUAUAAAUUAAAAAGAAAUAAAAUAUAUGGUAAACUGUUUAUAUACAAUUAAAAAUUGUCAGGGGGUGCCUUGGAAGUGGUGUGUGAAUUAGGUUUAAGUUGGAUGAAUUUAAGGUUAAAAUAAAUGAUAAAAAUAGAUGAAGCUAGGUUAAGAGUGGAUGAAUUUUUACUCAUGGAUGAUUUUUUGAUAAUGGAUGAAAUUAAAAUAAAAAAAUAAACUAAAAGAGAGAAAAUUUUAUGGCAUUAAAUUGUUGAGUGAUUUAUCAUUGUAAAUGUGAAUUAUUGUAGUAUUUUGGUUUGAUGGCUUGGAUUAUUUAAGAAGAAUAAAGAAUGAUUAAUUAGAAUCUAAUUAAUAGCUAUAACUACUAUAAUUCACAAAGUUAAUUCAUUUGUUAUAAAUUAGAAUAAACUUCCAAUUAAUGGAGGUUUAUUUUAGUUCACAAAGUUUCCUAGCUUGUGGAAGCUGCUUGAGAAGCUUCCUAAUUUGUGGAAGCUACUUAAGAAGCUUCUUAGCUUUUAGUAUAUAUAAGAGCCGAGAUUGAGAGGAUCCUCAGUCUCGACAACACACCUCUUGGAGCUUCUUGUUUUGUAUGUCGUUGACGUCACCCCCCUCUCCCCCCCUCCCCCCAUUUAGCUUCAAGGUCUUCGAGAAGCACUCUUAUUGCGAGUCAAUACCAACGCAAGAAGUUGAAAAUUUAUCGCAUAGUCUGCAAUAUACUCCAAUUGUUGUUUAUGUGAUAAGUAGUUCAUUGGUCCUUGUAACCAAUGAUAGUGUCCUACGCCUUUGAUUUCCGACCAAGCAUGAACUUCUCUGUCUUUAUUGUAAAAAUGCCCUACAAAUAUUCAUUCGGGAAGAUCACCAUAGGCAGGUUCUACCUCAAACACAA
RNAcentral lists this long non-coding RNA (34055 nucleotides) under Physcomitrium patens. RNAcentral's name for it is "long non-coding RNA (PPAT_LNC005092)". The record is from RNAcentral. Lineage: Eukaryota; Viridiplantae; Streptophyta; Bryopsida; Funariales; Funariaceae.